Molecule: transfer RNA, 63 nt
Filed under: Cricetulus griseus (Chinese hamster)
Lineage: Eukaryota; Metazoa; Chordata; Mammalia; Rodentia; Cricetidae
Rfam family: tRNA
About the family: Transfer RNA (tRNA) molecules are approximately 80 nucleotides in length. Their secondary structure includes four short double-helical elements and three loops (D, anti-codon, and T loops).
Source: Rfam by way of RNAcentral
GCUAGCUCAGUCGGUAAAGCAUGAGACUCUCAAUCUCAGGGUCUUGGGUUUGUGUCCCACGCA